Cajanus cajan (pigeon pea) is the source of this 1078-nucleotide non-coding RNA. NCBI's taxonomy places the organism in Eukaryota, Viridiplantae, Streptophyta, Magnoliopsida, Fabales, Fabaceae. The record is from RefSeq and is a predicted model, not a curated record.
UGUUUUAGUUUAUAUGUAUGGAUUUGCAAGUUACUGAAUAUAGUUAUUUGUGGGUUUUGCUUUCUAACCCCCUUUAAAAAGUGUUUCUGUAAAGUAUAAUUGGUAUCUAUAAAUACUACAAUAUCUUGGCAUUUUCUUCUAAGACAUUUUUCUGUCUCUGUUUUGGUUAUUUCUGGAAUGUUUUAUUUAGGUAAAGGCAUUCCUUAGAGGCGAGCCUCUACCCUUUACUGCUGGUAAGCUUGAAGGGAUUGCAGCUGUUGUAAAUGAGAAUGUUAGAACAGUGAGGAAACUCGGCAGCAUUAGUCUUCGGUAUUGGAUUUUGGAAUACUUACGAAGACAACCUAAAGAGAGAACAUAUCGUGCAUUGGUCCUUAAAUUUAUGAAGGAUCGAAUUGCAGCUCUAUUGUUGGUUGAGGUUGGGUUUCAAGCUUCUGCCUGGAUCUCUGUUGGAACGCAGAUAGGGGAUGAAGUAAUAGUUAAGGUGGUAGAAGCACAUCCACGUGAUGAUAUAAUUUUUCUGAAGGAGGUUGUAAAAGAGUGAGCUAAGAUACGACUUUGAAUAGAGUUUUUCAAUAUUCAACGAUUUAUUCCAAGGUUAAAUCGUCUCUCUGCAUCCCUAGCCUACAAAGCUUGGCUGCUCGUAGGAAGAGAGUUCACACUUCACUGUCAGAAUCACGUCAUUUGAAACUUUGUUAAGAUGUUCAAAUCUUGAUGUGUCAUUUCUGGCAGAGAAAUUUAAGGAAGUUACAGCCAACAUAUCCAGCCUUCCUCAUGCUGCCAGUGUACAGUCCUUCAAACAAUUUCUCCAACCAGUCACAUGAAGUUAUCAGGUUUUGUUCCCCACUUAAGCGAAUAGCUUUGCCCAUUCUGUUGAUUUGUAGUGGUAUAGUAGUAGUGAUAGUAUCUCACCAAAAGCAGCUUCUAUAUUUUCUUUUUGUUUCUUCAACUGUCAUGGUUAAGUAAUUCAAUUUUGCCUGGUAUAUGGUUGGCUUUACAACUUGAUAUGAAUAUCUGAGUUUUUUUAUUGUAAUAUCACAUCCUUUGUGCAAAUAACAACCAAGAAUCUAGAGUUGCAUUA